AGUGAACGCUGGCGGUAGGCCUAACACAUGCAAGUCGAACGGCAGCACAGUAAGAGCUUGCUCUUACGGGUGGCGAGUGGCGGACGGGUGAGGAAUACAUCGGAAUCUACUUUUUCGUGGGGGAUAACGUAGGGAAACUUACGCUAAUACCGCAUACGACCUACGGGUGAAAGCAGGGGAUCUUCGGACCUUGCGCGAUUGAAUGAGCCGAUGUCGGAUUAGCUAGUUGGCGGGGUAAAGGCCCACCAAGGCGACGAUCCGUAGCUGGUCUGAGAGGAUGAUCAGCCACACUGGAACUGAGACACGGUCCAGACUCCUACGGGAGGCAGCAGUGGGGAAUAUUGGACAAUGGGCGCAAGCCUGAUCCAGCCAUACCGCGUGGGUGAAGAAGGCCUUCGGGUUGUAAAGCCCUGUUGUUGGGAAAGAAAAGCAGCAGGUUAAUACCCCGCUGUUCCGACGGUACCCAAAGAAUAAGCACCGGCUAACUUCGUG
This 492-nucleotide ribosomal RNA is filed under the name uncultured bacterium. RNAcentral describes it as "partial 16S ribosomal RNA". It matches the Rfam family "Bacterial small subunit ribosomal RNA", at positions 29 to 507 of the family's 1533-position model. The record is from RNAcentral.